RNAcentral lists this ribosomal RNA (370 nucleotides) under Istiompax indica (black marlin). RNAcentral describes it as "partial 12S ribosomal RNA". It matches the Rfam family "Bacterial small subunit ribosomal RNA", at positions 965 to 1533 of the family's 1533-position model. Lineage: Eukaryota; Metazoa; Chordata; Actinopteri; Istiophoriformes; Istiophoridae. The record is from RNAcentral.
UCAACCUCACCCUUCCUUGCUUUUCCCGCCUAUAUACCACCGUCGUCAGCUUACCCUGUGAAGGUUUUAUAGUAAGCAAAGUUGGCACAGCCUAAAACGUCAGGUCGAGGUGUAGUGCAUGAGAGGGGAAGAAAUGGGCUACAUUCGCUACUAAUAGCGAAUUACGAAUGUUGCAUUGAAACAUGCAGCUGAAGGAGGAUUUAGCAGUAAGCAGAAAGCAGAGCGUCCCGCUGAAACUGGCCCUAAAGCGCGCACACACCGCCCGUCACCCUCCCCAAGCUUCCGGCCCUAAUUAACUAAAACCCUACAACUGCAAAGGAGAGGAAAGUCGUAACAUGGUAAGCGUACCGGAAGGUGCGCUUGGAAAAAU